Molecule: long non-coding RNA, 1064 nt
Filed under: Numida meleagris (helmeted guineafowl)
Lineage: Eukaryota; Metazoa; Chordata; Aves; Galliformes; Numididae
Description: lncRNA (ENSNMEG00000004072.1)
Source: RNAcentral
CUUUCUUAGAAAAGGCACUUUCUGCAUGUUUUUAGCACUCUUUAGGUAUGUACAUUUAGAAAACAUCAUAAGUUAGAUAAGAUAUAGAUAGAUAAGUUAGAUAAGAUAGUUCUAGGUACAUUGAAAAGUACUUCGAAAACAAUUUUGUCUUGACAGCAAUAAUAGAAUUUGGUUCUAAUGCCAUAACUUUUCAUGAGUUGAUAAUUAUUAAGAUUAAUAAAAGCACAGAAAUUAAUUUUGCAUCUGAGCCUUUUUUUUUUUUUUUUUUUUACUGGGUUGCAACAGGUUCUAGGAGACUGCAAGCCCCCUGGCUGAUCUACAGCUCACACAUGUUGUUAAUUAAAGCAUCACUGAUUUCAUGCACCUGGCUGAGCUCUUUAGUGGAAGGCAGAAACUGGGAAGUUACUCUGUUUGUGUGGUGUUGUACUCCAGAACAAAAGCAGCAAAAUGGAGAUGAUUUGUACACAUUCCAGUUUACUGAUUUCAGUGAGCGCAGCACCAGGUAUAUGCAGCUUUGUUAACUUCAGUGGACAUUUGCAGUUAACAACCAUUCCCUUGGAAGAUGCUGCACAUCGAUGACUUCGCGAUGCACCAGUCAGCUGUUCGGCUGGAUACCCCGCCUGGACUCUUCAGGAAUUUUUGGAGGGUUUUUUUUAUUUCUGAAUCACAUCAAAAGAUUUCCUGCGAACCACAACACAGUGGGGAUCUUGUGAAUUUCAAGCCCUGCGAGUUUAAAUGCUUCCAGGAGUUGAUGUCACUAACCAGUGGUUUUAGGCUUGACCGUCUAAAUUCUCACUUAUGCCACAGACAGGUAAGCGCCUUUUGCUUAAUUUUGCAUGAAACUAUUGUUUUCAAGCCGAAGCAUAUGGUGGGAGGAAGAGGAGGAGCUACUUUCCAAGUUAAUUACGGAGGCACAGCUCCUCACUUUUAUGAGCAGCAGUAGAGGGGAGAAGAGCAAAAAUGACUUUUCUCUGAUGACUGAAGAAAUAUUUAUGAUACGCCGUUCUCAGAGAGAAGGAGAUGACUGGAAUAUCACACUGUUGCUCUGAGUUUCUUGAGUCUAA